GUAAAAGUGAUGAAGAGGAGUAGUAAGCUUAAAUCCUGUUUGAGAGAGCUGGCGGUUGGUGCAAGUCAGUACAGGUAAAAGCUGAACUCGCCUUGGAACUGCAAUAGUGAACCUAAGUAGCUAUUGUCGUGAGCCUGCGUUAAGGGAUGUUAUUGAGGGCUCUAAUUGUUUGAUGGAGCUGAAACAGGGUGGUACCGCGGAGUAUUCAACAGGCCUUCGCCCCUGAU
This is a non-coding RNA of Desulfuromonadales bacterium C00003068, 227 nucleotides long. Lineage: Bacteria; Pseudomonadati; Thermodesulfobacteriota; Desulfuromonadia; Desulfuromonadales. The record is from Rfam.